CCGUUUAUCCCUAUUCGCCAUCUCUUUCCUUUAUCUGAAACAUGAUCUGCACUGAUGACUUUACCAAUUUUAGUCGCCGGUAAAGCUUUGUUCCAGUGAGUCUCCAUGAGUAUAUUAUACUCUUCGAUCUCAUCCUCACCAAAUCUCGUGCGAUGAUGAUGACGUCUGGUUGCUCCGACGAGUCAAGUAGGUCGUACGCAGCUACUGCUUCUUCACCCUUUUUCGCUUUGGUUCCGAAGAUCGAUUCAGCAACCCAAGUCUUAUGCUAUAUCUCCUUCAAUCGAAUCAUCAAGACAUGCCAGUUGGGUUGCCUAUUUAAAGCAGUUCACAUUCACUAUUUGCCGUAAGUCUGGGAAGCUUAAUUGUGUGGCUGAUACUCGUAGUAGACGACAUGGAUUACUCACUACGUUGCAUUCCUCUGUCACGGGUUUCACUGUCUUUUCGGAC
Molecule: long non-coding RNA, 447 nt
Filed under: Brassica napus (rape)
Lineage: Eukaryota; Viridiplantae; Streptophyta; Magnoliopsida; Brassicales; Brassicaceae
Description: long non-coding RNA (BNAP_LNC005706)
Source: RNAcentral